RNAcentral lists this transfer RNA (72 nucleotides) under Limimonas halophila. RNAcentral describes it as "Rhodospirillaceae bacterium Ia16 tRNA". It matches the Rfam family "tRNA". Rfam says of the family: Transfer RNA (tRNA) molecules are approximately 80 nucleotides in length. Their secondary structure includes four short double-helical elements and three loops (D, anti-codon, and T loops). Further hydrogen bonds mediate the characteristic L-shaped molecular structure. tRNAs have two regions of fundamental functional importance: the anti-codon, which is responsible for specific mRNA codon recognition, and the 3' end, to which the tRNAs corresponding amino acid is attached (by aminoacyl-tRNA synthetases). tRNAs cope with the degeneracy of the genetic code in two manners: having more than one tRNA (with a specific anti-codon) for a particular amino acid; and 'wobble' base-pairing, i.e. permitting non-standard base-pairing at the 3rd anti-codon position. Lineage: Bacteria; Pseudomonadati; Pseudomonadota; Alphaproteobacteria; Rhodospirillales; Rhodovibrionaceae. The record is from Rfam by way of RNAcentral.
UGGGGCGUAGCCAAGCGGUAAGGCAACGGUUUUUGGUACCGUGACUCGCAGGUUCGAAUCCUGCCGCCCCAA